This 300-nucleotide ribosomal RNA is filed under the name uncultured Lactobacillus sp. Its description in RNAcentral is "bacterial SSU rRNA". It matches the Rfam family "Bacterial small subunit ribosomal RNA", at positions 496 to 795 of the family's 1533-position model. Lineage: Bacteria; Bacillati; Bacillota; Bacilli; Lactobacillales; Lactobacillaceae. The record is from RNAcentral.
GCGCACUCGGUGACAGGAGGCGCUGCAAUAGCGAUGGUGCAAGCGGUAAUCGGGUUGACGGGGCGUAAAGCGGGCGUAGGCGGUUUGCGAAGUCGGUUGUGAAAGCCCUGGUCUUAACCUGGGAAUUGCAGUCGAUACUGGCAGGCUAGAGAACGGUAGAGGGAGGCGGAACUCCAGGUGUAGCGGUGAAAUGCGUAGAUAUCUGGAAGAACACCGAUGGCGAAGGCAACCUCCUGGGCCUGUUCUGACGCUGAGGCACGAAAGCGUGGGUAGCAAACAGGAUUAGAUACCCUUUUAGUC